This is a long non-coding RNA of Monodelphis domestica (gray short-tailed opossum), 1572 nucleotides long. Lineage: Eukaryota; Metazoa; Chordata; Mammalia; Didelphimorphia; Didelphidae. The record is from Ensembl.
AGGAAGAGAAGCUGACCUUUCUGAUUGUGAAAUACUCCCAGAAGCUCUAGGGGCUGGCUGGGUCACAGAGUUUCCUGAUUGCUGCAGGGGCUCCUUUCACUUUGGGCAUGCUCAUCAUUUCUCCAAGGUCAGAGGUUGGAGCCUUCAAUGUUAGUCAUGGCCUGGAAUCCUUCCAAAAAUGUUCCUUUUUCAUUGUGAAGAUUUUCUUACUGGGAGGGCGACUGGCUGAUGGUAUUCAAUGUCAGCUUCCCGUUCCUGAUGUCCAGGUCCUGAUUGAAAUUCUCAGGGUGAUGGGAGAAUGGUGCUGCUUGGAAUAUCAUGUACUUCAAGGACUUAAAAUUUCAAACAAAACUGCUGGUGAUCCAAAGAGUAAUGAGGAGACAUGCACAAGCAUAAGAAGGCUGGAGUCCUUGAGAGCUGAUAGCAGGUCAGAAAGUAAAAGAGAAGGAGCUGAAACAGAAUCCAGUCUGUGGCAAAUAUGGCCUGGAGAAGAGAAAUGUCAGCAGGGGCGUUCUUCAAACGGUCUUCAAGUAUUUGAAGGGCUUAUUACCUGGGAGAGAAAUUCACCUUGAUCUGCUUGGCCCCAAAGGGCAGACCUGGAUGAUUGUUGUAGAGAGACAGACUUUAACGCGCCUUGCUAACAAUUAGUGCCUCCAAAGUGGACUGCCUUUAUUGGAAGUCUUCAAGCAAAGGCCAGAUGACCUCUUGUUCAAUAUUUUGGAAUAGGGAUUCCUGCUCAAGUAAGGUUCAAACCGGAUGGCCUCUCGCUCCCCCCAAAUUGAAGAUUUUUGUAGUUUUAUAAUUUGUUUUUGACUUUGUAUUCAUAUGCUCUAUAUCCAGGGCAUCUAAUUUUUAAAUUUAAAAUUCACGUAUUACUUUUCAAUAUUAUUUUAACAAGAAUUUACCUUCUCCUCUGUCUCUCCUCACAGCAUCUGUCUUUUUUCUUCAUGAAAAUGCAACAGGUCUAGAUUGUGUCAAAUGUUUCUCUUGUGACAGAAUUGAGAUUUGAACCCAAGUUCACUGACUCCAAACUGAAUGGUUUCUUUAGUGCAUCUUGCUAUAACAUAGUUUAAUUUUGGUCCCACUGAACUGUCCUCUUUAUCCUAUUUGCUGUGAUUAUUUAUACAGGUUAAAAUAUUGGGGCAAUUGAAGGGGGUGGUUGUUUAAUUGGUCAACAAAUACUUCAAAGGGCAGUUGAUAAUAUUUUGGGACUCAGUCCAAUUGAAUAGCAAAAUAUGAUGGUCUGAGUCUCACUGCACAACUUCUUAGAGCCCUCUGCCUUCAUAUUUUUCUGUGUUUUCCUCUCCUUUAAUCUUCUAUGUCCUUUCAUCUUUCUUUUCCUUUGUGGAUCCCUUUAUUUCCCUUUCUCUGUCUACCUCCCUCACUUUCUCUAUUAACAAUGUAGCACAACAAACACUUAUUAAACUUCUCUGAAACCAGGAGAGAGGCAGAGAUGAAAGAGGGAUAUUUGCUGCUCAAAUGGACCUCAUAAUAAUGUUCCUUCUUAUCCUCUGCCUUUUUUCUCCCCAUCUCCCAAACACACAUAUAUCACAAAAAUGUUCAUAAUAUGGA